AACUUUUGACAAUGGAUCUCUUGGCUCUCGCAUCGAUGAAGAACGCAGCGAAAUGCGAUACGUAAUGUGAAUUGCAGAAUUUAGUGAAUCAUCGAAUCUUUGAACGCACAUUGCGCCCUGUGGUAUUCCGCAGGGCAUGCCUGUUCGAGCGUCAUAACAACCACUCUAGCUCUGCUAGGACUUGGGCACCUGCCAGUUCAUUUUGGCAUGCCUUAAAAUCUCACAGUAGCGCCGUCAAAGCCUGAGCGUAGUAAACAUACCACCGCUAAAGGAUUGAUGGAUGUCCCACUGUCUAAGCCCUUUUUCUAGGUUGACCUCGGAUCAGGUAGGGAUACCCGCUGAACUUAAGCAUAUCAAUAAGCGGAGGCU
Molecule: unclassified non-coding RNA, 369 nt
Filed under: uncultured Ascomycota
Lineage: Eukaryota; Fungi; Ascomycota
Description: sequence contains ITS2
Rfam family: 5.8S ribosomal RNA (bases 1-154)
Source: RNAcentral